Molecule: unclassified non-coding RNA, 1529 nt
Filed under: Leishmania donovani
Lineage: Eukaryota; Euglenozoa; Kinetoplastea; Trypanosomatida; Trypanosomatidae
Description: gene:LdHU3.20.0340(CDS-product:developmentally_re gulated_phosphoprotein-like_protein)
Source: RNAcentral
UACAUAUCUCUUUCUGCGGAGUUGAAUUCGUGAAUCACGGAAUCGAAGAAGCGAAAACGCUUUAGGGCAGACAAAUGAUGCGGCGAUUGCUUCCGAUUAAGAAGUUACUCGGCUCCACGACCGGCUUCCGUUUGGCAUCGACGAAAAGCUCGGGCACAGAGCGCCUAGAGAGGCUCGUGGAGGAGGUGAAUGGCAUAAAGUCGAAGCUGAAAGUUCUGGAAGAGAGCAAAGCUGCAAACGGAUUGGUUGACCUUUACGCCUCUCGCAAAAUGAAAAGGCUGGACAUUAAGCGUAUCCUGAGUAUCUUCAACGAUAGGGCGUACCACGCGCCAAUAUUCUGCCACAAGGCGCUUCCAAUUAUUUUGGCGCACUUCAUUACCGGACUUGACAAACUUCCUUCUGGCCUCAACGCCAUGCCGUCGAUUUUGGCCGUUCGUGCAACGCUUCUCCGCUCGUUUCAGAAGCUCAUCAACUGCAAAAUCCCUGCCACCGACGACCAAGUGCAGCACUUUCGCAGAGUGUUGGAGGACAUUGACGAGGAGCACGCAGAGCGCGACCUGCUGCAAACCAUGGCAUUUGGAAUCCUGGAGCUGAAGGAGUACGUUUCAUCUCAUCGGCGAGCACUGGUGGAUCUUAAGAAGACAUCCGAGCGGUGGGCCAGCAUCCCCAUGACGGAGGAGAACGUGCUCACCUACGCAGAGAUCCAAGACAUCCAAGCCCCACUGGACUCUGUGAAUCGUUGUAUGAUCACGUACAACUUCAUCUCUCGCAUGUUCCUCAACCACGACCCGGAUAUGACUAUGGGCAGCAAUCCCAGACGCAUCGGGAUGGUUGAUCUUGAGAUGAAUCUUGAGCACGUAGUUCGCAACGCUGUUGACGAGGCGAAGCAGAUUUGCACGGAUCACUACGGCGACUGCCCAGACACCGAGUUUGAGUUCACCUCAGACUCCAAGGCUUUCCGAUUCCCCUACAUGAGCACAACUAUCCGGUACAUUAUACUGGAACUGAUGAAGAACGCGUUUCGUGCGACAGUGGACUCACACAUGAAGCGCAACGACGUUGGGAUGGUUACGUGCGCUGAUAUGCCGCCUGUUCGCGUUUUGAUCAACCUACAAGAAGGGACGGAGCAUGCGUGCAUCUGUAUCUCGGAUGAAGGCAUGGGCAUGACGGACGAAGCACUUGCCAUGGCAAUGGCGUACUCAUACACGUCAGUCAGCAAACCAGCUCUGCAGCUUGGUGACUCGGGCGAGGGGUGUGCAUCCACGGCGCCAUCGCCGCUGGCUGGCUACGGGUACGGGCUUCCGAUGUCGCGCGUGUACGCACAGUCGCUUGGUGGCGACCUUUUCUUGCAGACCAUGGAGGGCUACGGUACGCGCGCCUACUAUUAUAUCAAGAUAGCGGAUGCACAACCCUUAUGCGACGAGGAAACCAAGUAGUUCGCUGAAGGCGCAAGGCGAAACUCAUCCAUCACAACGCCGCUUCGUGUCCUUGAUUCGUUCUCUGGCCCCUCGUCCUGUUGUGCGUACAAG